UGACUAACUGCCUUACUUACAUUUCUAAAUGGGCAAUGAUUUGGGUGUUUGAAUUUAAAUGCUGGCCUGUGUUCUGCAUAAAGUCAGUAUAUGACUUCAUUAGGACUUUUAAGCUUUUCUCUAGUGAAUUGAGCCUUUAGUCAUCCUCAAACUCCCUCAUUAAUACAUAUGCAUCCUCAUUUCUAGUGAAUUGAGAAAGCAUGUUGAAGAUUUGGGAUUUGAUCUUAAAAUAAUUAUAAACAAUAGUCUGAGGUGAUCUAAUGUAGGUUGGUUAAGCCGAGCC
This 283-nucleotide long non-coding RNA is filed under the name Elaeis guineensis (African oil palm). RNAcentral's name for it is "long non-coding RNA (EGUI_LNC001970)". The record is from RNAcentral. Lineage: Eukaryota; Viridiplantae; Streptophyta; Magnoliopsida; Arecales; Arecaceae.